CUCCUGUUACCCAUUCCCUGAUUGCUCCCUCUGUGUAUUUAAGCCCUGUGUUUUUCUGUGUCCGUGUCGUGAUCUACCCUUAUCCACCCUCUUCUUCCUGUGUGUUCUGUCUGCGUAAGUUUAUUUGCAAGUUUGUUACCUUUUGAGUUUAGCAAUAAAUCUGAGUUUGAGUUACUUUCCACCUCCGAGUGUCUGCACCUUGGGUCCUUUUCCUGCCUGCACACAGCCGUUACAUAACAGGAGGUGGCAGUAUCAUAGUUUGGGGAUGCUUAUCUGAGGCACCACCUGGCCAGCUCACCAUCAUAGAAUCCAUCAUGAAGUCUACUAUGUGUCAGAGGGUGGGUGAAGAACAUAUGAGGAGUGUGGCAAACUUCUGAUCUUCUGAUCGAUGUUAGAAACUGGUAAAAGGCUACAAAAGGUGCCUUACUGAAGUUAUAUCAGCCAAAGGUGGCAACACUAGUUAUUAGGGGGGGUAGAGUAGCCAAACUUUUUCCUCCAUUAAAAUACACAUUUUUGUUCUUUUUUUUUUUUGUGUGUGUGUGUAAAAAAAAAAAAAAAUUUUGUUUAAUUGCAAUUAAGUCGCUUACUUUUCCAGUAAUACAUGAAAACAUGAUUGGACAGUGAUAUGUGGACAUUUCUUAAUAAAGAGCUGAUUAUUUAAUUAUUUUUUAAUUUUCUCACAUGACUGUUGUAAAAGUACCAGACACACACGAUCAUUGUGCUCACUAUUAUUGCGUUUUCUUGACAGUUGUGAACUCAAGGAAAACAGUCUGUUCCAGUCCAGCUCUCUCUCUCCCCGCUCGACUCUGGCUUCACUAUAUAGAGAAAUAGAAAGAGACUCCAUCAUCAGUCAAUCACCACCACCUGUGCUCACCUGCUUCCCGGUACUGAUCCCUUGAGCUCACUGCACCACUCCUCCCCUGCAGCUGCACCAGGGACCACACCUCAGCCACAACUGUAUUUCUUGUGUAACAAUUGUAAAAGAUCAUUUUUUUUAUUUGCUUGGAUGAAUCCGUCAUUUCAGUACAUCUUUAUUGUCUUCAUUAUCUUUUUUUUUUCAACACUUAUUGGUUCCACAAUAAGUGGAACCAUGCUGAAGGUAUUUCUGCUUGGAUGCUUCCUAUGCCUCACUCCAGUUCAACCAAUUGUCAAUGUGUAUGAAAAGUAUGGUGGCUCUCACCACGGCUGAUAUGAGAUCACCAACAACAACAAUAUUUCCCUGCAGCAACUUCUCUCUGUCCUCCUACAAGCACCUGCUAAAACCACUACAACAGCUGCACCCACUACAACUCCCUGAAAUCUGAAAGGAAACCAAAAAUCGAGCCAGCAUUGCAUUUUUAGCGACAGCACAAUAAAUGCAAU
This is a long non-coding RNA of Oreochromis aureus, 1362 nucleotides long. RefSeq lists it as uncharacterized. The transcript is spliced from 3 exons. The record is from RefSeq and is a predicted model, not a curated record. NCBI's taxonomy places the organism in Eukaryota, Metazoa, Chordata, Actinopteri, Cichliformes, Cichlidae.